GCCCAGGUGGCGAAAUGGCAGACGCACUACCUUGAGGUGGUAGCGGGAGCAAUCCUGUGGAGGUUCGAGUCCUCUCCUGGGCACCA
Molecule: transfer RNA, 86 nt
Filed under: Candidatus Peribacteraceae bacterium
Lineage: Bacteria; Candidatus Peregrinibacteriota; Candidatus Peribacteria; Candidatus Peribacterales
Description: tRNA-Leu
Rfam family: tRNA
About the family: Transfer RNA (tRNA) molecules are approximately 80 nucleotides in length.
Source: RNAcentral